Molecule: non-coding RNA, 6807 nt
Organism: Callithrix jacchus (white-tufted-ear marmoset)
Lineage: Eukaryota; Metazoa; Chordata; Mammalia; Primates; Cebidae
Source: RefSeq, a predicted model, not a curated record
ACGUCACGGCGGGCGCCUCCGGUAACAUCACGGCGCACGGAGACGGGCCUCCGGCGACGUCACAGAGGCGAGCCUUACGCGACUUCACACGAAGGUGUGUUGCCUAGGAGCUGUGUUGUCUUGUCCCCAGAGCAGAGUCCGGUAACCUCCAUCUUCUGCUGCAUCCUCUGUGCUGCUGGCUGGAGAAGGAUGGAGUCUGUUUUGUUUUGUUUUUGUUUUCUUGAGAUGGAGUCUCGCUGUUGUAGCCCAGGCUGGAGUGCAGUGGCAUGAUCUUGGCUCAUCCUGUAUCAUACCCACAGAGACCCUUUUUUUCUCCAGGGCCUGGGAAGCAGCCAGUUUCCAUGAGUUAAAUGCAGAUCUGAACCAUACCGAGCUGGAAUUAAAGUACACACCCUCCUCUUCUGAAAAGUAGCUAAGGAUUCCAACUUGGUGUAGUGGAGAGUGUGGCAGAGCCAGACCAGACAAGGACUGAUCACCUGGAAAAGCAUGUUGUCAAAGGCCUUGGCCAGAAUUCUAAAGUCAGUCCCACUGACUCAAGGUGGGAGCAGGGCAGGUACCUUCCCAGGCUCUGAAGGAGAAUGAGUUUCUGGCCCUGGAGGCUUCCUGGAAUCCUCAGCUUGUGCUGCCCUUCUUGAAUGACUGGAGGUACCUGCUUCCAUCACUACACUUCCCAUCGCUCUCCAUCACCUGCUCUGCUCUGGUAAGGAUCUGGGCUGGCUGCAGUCUUCGUUCCCUGCAACAUUUGUCUCCUGGGUUCGAGUGAUUCUUCUACCUCAGCCUCCUGAGUACCUGGGACUACAGGUGCCUGCCACCAUGUCUGAGAAAUGCAAUCAUGGUAUCGCUGAUCUAUGUAAACACAUUGAAGAACUAUCUGAAAGAAAAUAUGAGUCUUGCUCUUUCACUCAGGCUGGAGCGCAGUGGUGUGAUCUCAGCUGACCAAAACCUCCACUUCUCAGGUUGAAUUUAUCCUCUUGCCUCAGCCUCCCUAGUAGCUAGGACUACAGAGAUUUGGUUUUGCCAUGUUGGCCAGCCUGGUCUCCAAUUCCUGACCUCAGGCGAUUCACCUGCCUUGGCCUCCCAAGUGCUAGGAUUACAGAGCAAAGGAAGAAUGGUGUACCAGAAUCAUCAAAUUAAGAAAGACAGUAGAUGAGCUUUUCCGCAAAAAACAUUGGAUCUUUGAAGAUCUUUUUUAAGACCAAAACUCUGAAGCACGUUCAAAUGAUUUGUAUUUAGAAGGACUACCGGAAAACAUUUCUUUCAGAAGUCUCUUGUGAUGUGGAAUUCCGAGGCUGGAAAACAUCAGACAUGAACUUAUUAAUUCUACACGUGAGGAUUUACAACUUGAUAAACCAGCUUCAGGAGGCUGGAGUGCAAUGGUGCGAUCUUGGCUCAUGACAACCUCCGCCUCCUGGGUUCCAACAAUUCUCCUGCCUCAGCCUCCCGAGUAGCUGGGAUAACAGAGUCUUGCUCUGUCACCCAGGGUGGAGGGCAGUGGCAUGAUCUCAGCUCACUGCAAUGUCCACCGCUCAGGUUCAAGCGAUCCUCCUGCCUCAGUGUCCGUAGUAGUUGGGACUACAGGUAAGUGCCACCAUGCUGGGCUAAUUUUUGUAUUUUUAGUAGAGCUAGGAUUUCACCAUGUUGGCCAGGCUGGUCUCGAACUCCUGACCUCAGGUGAUCCACCCACCUAGGCCUUGCAAAGUGCUGGGGUUAUAGGUUUGAGCCUGUUCAAUGACUAGCUCUUGAAUUUUAUUUUUUUUUUGAGAUGUAAUUUCGCUUUUGUUGCCCAGGCUGGUGUGCAAUGGCUUGAUCUCAGCUCACCACAACCUCCUCCUUUUGGGUUCAAGCAAUUCUCCUGCCUCAGUCUGUCAUGUAGCUGGGAUUACAGGUGUACACCACCAUGUCUAGCUAAUUUUUUUUUUUUUCUUUUAAGUAAAGACGGGAUUUUUCCAUGUUGGUUAGGCUGGUCUCGAACUCCAGACCUCAGGUGAUCUGACCACCUUGGCCUCCCAAAGUGCUGGGAUUACAAGUAUCAGCCACAGUGCCCAUCCCAGCUCUUGACGUUUUAUAGAUGUUGUAUUAUUUCAGUCUUGAGUAAAUAAAUGCUAGCUGAGAUGUUGCAGUUCAGGAGAAUCUUCUGUUUUUAUUAGUUAAAAAAUUAUCUUUAUAAGUCCAAUAAGGUUACACUAAUGUUUAUGUUUUGAAAAUAUUACAUUUUCCAUUUAGUACUGUAUAUAUUAAAUAACAUUAGCCAGUAUGUUCCUCUGGCCUUAUAAUUUGGUUCAGACUGUUGUAGAAAGUCUGGGUGUAUCUACAUUGGCUUUAAUAAUGGGAUUAUUUCUUUCUUUUUCUUUCUCUAUUUUAUUUAAUUUUUUUUGAGCUGGAAUUUCCCUGUUGUCCCCAUGCUAGAGUGCAAUGGCAUCAUCUUGGCUCACUGUAACAUCUACCUCCUGGGUUCAAGUGAUUCUCCUGCCCCAGCUUCCCGAGUAGCUGGGAUUGCAGGCACCUGGCUCCACACAUAGGUAGUUUUUGUCUUUUUAGUAGAGAUGGGUUUUCCCAUGUUGGCAAGGAUGGUCUUGAACUACUGAUCUCAUGUGAUUCACUGACCUCAGCCUCCCAAAGUGCUGGAUUACAGGUGUGAGUCACCGCAUUCAGCUGUAAUGGCAUAUUUUACUGUAGACUUUGAUAAUCAGAAUAUUAGCAUUUUGGAGGUUCUUUUUAUUUUUUUCAUACUAUUUUUUGGACUCAAAUACAAUAAUAGAAGUAAAGAACAAAUUAUAAAAGUUAAAGAGCAAUGCAGGGCAUGCUGGCUCAUGCCUGUAAUUCUAGCACUUUGGGAGGCCAAGGCGGGUGGAUCAUGAGGACAGGAGAUCAAGAUCAUUUUAGCCAAUACGGUGAAACACCGUCUCCAUUGUCUGUACAAAAAUUAGCUGGGCAUGGUGGCAGGCACCUGUAGUCCCAAAUACUCAGGAGGCUGAGGCAGGAGAAUUGUUUGAACAUGGGAGAUGGAGGUUGCAGUGAGCUGAGAUUGUGCCAUUGCACUCCCACCUGGCAGCAGAGCAAGACUUCAUUAAAAAAAAAAAAUUAAAGAGCAAUACAGAUUGAAUAAUUAUUCUUUUCUUCUGGUAUUUAAAUGAUAUCUCUUUUUUUUUUUUUUCAGUUACAGCUCAAGCUGUAAAAGCCAAAGGUCCAGGAUGAUCUUGUACUUUUAUUCCAGUCUCAUGUGGAAGAUCUUAAUGUAGAAGGACUUCCCAAAGGAUUUUUUUUUUUUUUCUGAGACAAAGCUUUCACUCUUGUCACCCAGCCUGGAGUGCAGUGGCAUGAUCUCGACUGACUGCAGUCUCUUCCUCCUGGGUUCAAGCAAUUCUCCUUCCUCAGCCUCCUUAUUGGCCAUGCUGGUCUCAAAAUCCUGAGUUUGUGAUUUACCUGCCUCGGUCUGUGAAAGUGUUGGGAUUACAGGCAUGAGCCAUUGUACUCAGCCUACUUUACAUAUUUUUAUCUUUCACUUUUAAAUUUUUCUGGGUCCAACACUAAGUCAGUCAUGCCAGUGUUAGCUUUUGAAACAUGAACACUGCCCACAUCUGACUGGUAUGCAACUGACAUUUUCUUUUAGAGUUCUGAUUGGCUUCAUCUGAGGGGGUGUCUGUGAUGUCACAAGGGUGGGUUUUCAGGGAAGUCACAAGGACAGUACAAGGCCUGGAGAUGUGUCAUCUUCUUCUCAGAGUGAAGCCUGGUAACUGCAGUGUCUCAGCUGGGUCCUGUGUGUUGCUGGAUAGAAAAGGGAAGUUGACAAACUCUGACCCGGUACAGUGUUUAUGUAGGUCAAAAAUAGAAAACUGUAUCCAGGUGUGGCUGAGGUAGGAGGAAUCCCUACAGUCCAGGAGUUUAGGAACAUCCUGGGCAACAUGGUGUGACCCUGUAUCUUUAGUCCCACCUCAGCCUCCCAGCUACUUGAACCCCAGGGUUCAAGGCUGCAAUGAGCUAUGAUCCUACCACAGAACUCCAACCUGUGAGACUGAGGUAAACCCUGCCUAAAAGAACAAAAAGAAAACUCUCCAAGUGUGCAAGAGUAGUAGACUGCUUAAAGAAAACAUGAGGCUCCCUGAGCCCUGUAAUCCCAGCGCUUUUAGGGCAGAGGCGGGAGGAUGGCUUGGGCUUAGGAGUUUGAGACCAGCCUGGGCAACAUGAUGAAACCCUGUCUCUACAAAAGAUAUAAAAAUUAGCCAGGUGCGGUGCACACCUGGCUUAAGUUUUGUAGAGAUGAGGGGUGGUCUAGCUAUGUUAGAAUAUAAUCAGAUAUCUUAUUAUCAGGCCGGUCUUGAACUUUUAGGUUGAAGCAACCUUCUGACCUUGUCUUUCAAGGUUGUUGGGAUUACAGGCGUGAGCCACUGCCCCCACCUGGGUUAGGCCAUUUAAUAACAUAAGAAAGUGCUCGGGCAGCUCAGUGGCUCAUCCCUCUAAUCCCAGUACUUUGGGAGACUGAGAUGAGCGGAUCACCUGAGGUCAGGGGAUCGAUACGAGCCUGGCCAGAAUGGUGAAACUCUGUCUCUACAAAAAAUACAAAACUUAGCUGGGGGUGGUGGUAGGCUCCUGUAUUUCAGCUACUCAGCAGGCUGAGGCAGGAGAAUUUUUUGAACCUGGGAAAUGGAGCUUGCAGUGAGCCGAGAUCGAGCCACUGUACUUCAGCCUGGGUGACAAGAGUGAAACUCUGUUUCAAGAAAAGAAAGUUAAAGAGCAAUACAGAUUCAAUAAUUAUUCUUUGCUGCAAAUUGUGUUUAAAUGAUAUCCCUCUUCCUUUUUGUCCUCAUACCUCAAGGUGUAAAAGCCAAAGGUCCGGUGAUGAUUCCAUACCCUUUUUUCCAGUGUCAUGUUGAAGAUCUCUAUGAAGAAAGCCUUCCCAAAGGAAUUUGUUUUUCUUUUUCUUGAGACAGUUUUCACUCUUGUCCCCCAGGUCGGAGUGCUAUGGUGUGAUUUUGGCUCACUGGCUCUUGGGUUCAGGCAGUUUUCCUGCCUCACAGCUGCCCACCACCAUACAAGACUAAUUUUUGUAUUAUUAGUAGAGAAGGGAUUUUUCUAUGUUGGCCAGGCUGGUCUUGAACUCCUGACCUCUGGUGACACUAGGUGGAAUAAGGGGGAUGGGUGUGAUUGGGGCAGCCUUUAUGAUAUGCGAUGGGCACAUUCUGUAGUUGACUUCACCUCUUUCUAAAACUUCCACUUUUUACUCAGCUCUGACAAUUGGUUCUUUUUUUAUUUUAUAGAAAGCUUGUUAGAAUUAGGUUUAUAUAGUUUCUUGUUGAAUUGACAGAAUAAUUUUAUUUAACAUCAUUCUUUAGUGUGACUGAAAGCCUCUAAGUUUUUACCGUUGUUUGUUUAUGGGCAUAUUUCUUUUUACAGAUAUGAUAACUAUUUCAUUUUGUGUGUUUCUUAUUCCAAAGAGUUCCUAUACUAGAUCCUUUCAGAUUGGGUGCUAAUAACAUGAAGUAAGAAUUUAAUACAAAUCUUAGAUGUUAGAGGCAAGCCAAUCUAAGAACAAAGAAAUUAAUUUCUUUCAAGUUGAGGUGUGGAGGUAGAGGAGGCAAUUGGAUAAAUGAGUCCAGAAGUAAGGAGAAAAAUCUGGCAGUCGAUGUAAUUUUGGAUUUUGUAGUAGUGUUGUGAUAGCACUUGUUGAUAUCACCAAAAUAAUUCAUCAAUGAGCUUCCUCACAGCUCCCCAUUUCUUUUUAAAGAAACCAGGUCUCUUUAUGUUGUCUGGGUGUGACUAGAACUUUUGGGCUCAUGUUAUCCUUCUGACUGAGUGUCCUAAGAGGCUGGGGCUACAGGCAUGUGUUACCAUGCCCAGCUUAUAACCACUCCCAGCCAUCAGGUUGCAAAAUAUUUAAAUUUACAUACAAAGGUGCAAGGGAGAUCUCUAUAUAAAUAGCACCAUGUCAAUUGCUAGAAUCUUUCUUUUUAGAAUUCUGUUUGGAUGUGGAUUCAGAGCAGGGAAUAGUAAAUUAAUUUUUACUUUAUUUUUGUUUUUGUUUUUGUUUUAAGCAGAUUCUCACUCUGUUGCCGAGGCUGGAGUCUAGUGGCAUGAUCUUGGCUCACUGUAGCCUCUUCCUGCUGGGCGCAAGUGAUUUUCUUGCCUCAGCCUCCUGAGUAGCUGGGAUUACAGGUUCCUGUCACCACAUUUGGCUAAUUUUUUGUGUGUGUAUUUUUGGUAGAAAUAGUUUCACCAUGUUGGUCUCUUAACUCCUGACCCAACUGAUCCACCUGCCUCGGCCUCCCAAAGUGCUGGAAUUAUAGGAGUGAGUCGCUGCUCCUGACCAUUUUUUUUUUAACAUUUUUAAAUUAGAGUUUUUAUACCUAUUCAAAAGUAGAGAAAAUAGUACAAUAAACACUAAAAUACCCAUUCCUCAAUUUCUGUGAUCAUUAAGAUUGUCCACAUUUUGUUCUGCUAUUCUUUUACCUCCCUUUGCAGGAAUAUUAUAAAGCAAAUCGCAGUCAUCACAUUAUUUUAUCUGUUCAGUGUGCAUUCCUGAACAGCCACUCUCUCAUCAUAUCUGACAAAUUUAGCAGUGAUUCUUUGGUGUCAGCUCAUAUGUAGCCCUUAGUUGAGUUUCCUUACUCUUAUCUGAAUAGUAUCACAUUUCCUCAUUAUCUGAAAAAAAUUUGUUUUAAAUCUGGCUUUAAACAGUCUUUAUGUGUUAACUUUGGUUGUUAUGCCUCUUUUAAUCUAAAUCAGCCUCUGCUUACUAUUUUUAAUUCCCAUUUCAUGAGUUCUUUGUGGAAAGUUAAUUCUCAUUAAAUAGCAUGCUCACGAUAUUGAAGG